RNAcentral lists this microRNA precursor (52 nucleotides) under Canis lupus familiaris (dog). RNAcentral describes it as "mir-1302 microRNA precursor family". It matches the Rfam family "mir-1302 microRNA precursor family". Lineage: Eukaryota; Metazoa; Chordata; Mammalia; Carnivora; Canidae. The record is from Rfam by way of RNAcentral. RNAcentral also lists the same sequence under 1 other name.
UUUUAAGUGUAACUAUAUUCCAUGCACUAUUUGGGACAUAGUUACACUAAAA